Molecule: ribosomal RNA, 2829 nt
Filed under: Mesorhizobium loti
Lineage: Bacteria; Pseudomonadati; Pseudomonadota; Alphaproteobacteria; Hyphomicrobiales; Phyllobacteriaceae
Description: 23S ribosomal RNA
Rfam family: Bacterial large subunit ribosomal RNA
Source: RNAcentral
GAUCAAGUGUCUUAAGGGCAAUUGGUGGAUGCCUUGGCAUGCACAGGCGAUGAAGGACGUGAUACGCUGCGAUAAGCUACGGGGAGGUGCGAAUACCCUUUGAUCCGUAGAUUUCCGAAUGGGGAAACCCACCUAAGGUACUUGGAAAAUCAGAGCAGCCGGAAGGUCGCAAGGCCGACUUGCUGCUGUGGUUUCCAAGUAUCGAUAAUAGGUAACUUACCCUGAAUACAUAGGGGUAAAGUGGCGAACGCGGGGAACUGAAACAUCUAAGUACCCGUAGGAAAGGACAUCAACCGAGACUCCGGAAGUAGUGGCGAGCGAACCCGGACCAGGCCAGUGGCGAUUGAGAGACAAGCGGAACCUUCUGGAAAGUAGGGCCAUAGUGGGUGACAGCCCCGUACGCGUAAUGCAAUCAAUCGUCCUCGAGUAAGGCGGGACACGUGAAAUCCUGUCUGAAAUUGGGGGGACCACCCUCCAAGCCUAAGUACUCGUGCAUGACCGAUAGCGAACUAGUACCGUGAGGGAAAGGUGAAAAGCACCCCGACAAGGGGAGUGAAAGAGUACCUGAAACCGGUUGCCUACAAACAGUGGAAGCCCAAGGUUCGUCCUGGGUGACCACGUACCUUUUGUAUAAUGGGUCAGCGACUUAGUGUGACGAGCAAGCUUAAACCGCUAGGUGUAGGCGCAGCGAAAGCGAGUCUGAAUAGGGCGUUCAGUUCGUCGCAUUAGACCCGAAACCGAGUGAUCUAGCCAUGAGCAGGUUGAAGGUAAGGUAACACUUACUGGAGGACCGAACCCAUAACUGUUGCAAUAGUUCGGGAUGACUUGUGGCUAGGGGUGAAAGGCCAAUCAAACUCGGAAAUAGCUGGUUCUCCGCGAAAUCUAUUUAGGUAGAGCGUCGACCGAAUACCCCAGGGGGUAGAGCACUGGAUGGGCUAGGGGUCCUCACCGGAUUACCAAACCUAACCAAACUCCGAAUACCUGGGAGUACUAGUCGGCAGACACACGGCGGGUGCUAACGUCCGUCGUGAAAAGGGAAACAACCCUGACCUACAGCUAAGGUCCCCAAGUUAUGGCUAAGUGGGAAAGGAUGUGAGGAUCCCAAAACAACCAGGAUGUUGGCUUAGAAGCAGCCAUCAUUUAAAGAAAGCGUAACAGCUCACUGGUCUAAAUAAGGGUCUUUGCGCCGAAAAUGUAACGGGGCUAAAGCCAUACACCGAAGCUUAGGGUUUGGUCCGCAAGGGCCAAGCGGUAGCGGAGCGUUCUGUAAGCUGAUGAAGCCAUACCCGUGAGGGGUGGUGGAGGUAUCAGAAGUGCGAAUGCUGACAUGAGUAACGUAAGGGGAGUGAGAGACUCCCCCGCCGAAAGACCAAGGGUUCCUGCUUAAAGCUAAUCUGAGCAGGGUUAGCCGGCCCCUAAGACGAGGCGGAAACGCGUAGUCGAUGGGAACCACGUUAAUAUUCGUGGGCUUGGAGGUAGUGACGGAUCAUUGAGGUAGUCCAAUCUUAUCGGAUUGAACGGGCUGCUGCGUGGUUCCAGGAAAUAGCUCCUCCUUAUAAACCGUACCCGAAACCGACACUGGUGGUCUGGUAGAGUAUACCAAGGCGCUUGAGAGAACUAUGCUGAAGGAACUCGGCAAAUUGCACGCGUAACUUCGGAAGAAGCGUGACCCUUUUCUACGCAAGUAGAGGAGGGUGGCACAGACCAGGGGGUAGCGACUGUUUAUCAAAAACACAGGGCUCUGCGAAGUCGCAAGACGACGUAUAGGGUCUGACGCCUGCCCGGUGCUGGAAGGUUAAGAGGAGGGGUGCAAGCUCUGAAUCGAAGCCCCAGUAAACGGCGGCCGUAACUAUAACGGUCCUAAGGUAGCGAAAUUCCUUGUCGGGUAAGUUCCGACCUGCACGAAUGGCGUAACGACUUCCCCGCUGUCUCCAGCAUAGACUCAGUGAAAUUGAAUUCCCCGUGAAGAUGCGGGGUUCCUGCGGUUAGACGGAAAGACCCCGUGCACCUUUACUAUAGCUUUACAUUGGCAUUCGUAGUGGCAUGUGUAGGAUAGGUGGUAGGCUUUGAAACCUGGGCGCCAGCUCAGGUGGAGCCACCCUUGAAAUACCACCCUUAUUACUAUGGAUGUCUAACCGCGGCCCGUUAUCCGGGUCCGGGACAAUGUAUGGUGGGUAGUUUGACUGGGGCGGUCGCCUCCUAAAGAGUAACGGAGGCGCGCGAUGGUGGGCUCAGAACGGUCGGAAAUCGUUCGCUGAGUGCAAUGGCAUAAGCCUGCCUGACUGCGAGACUGACAAGUCGAGCAGAGACGAAAGUCGGUCAUAGUGAUCCGGUGGUCCCGCGUGGAAGGGCCAUCGCUCAACGGAUAAAAGGUACGCCGGGGAUAACAGGCUGAUGACCCCCAAGAGUCCAUAUCGACGGGGUUGUUUGGCACCUCGAUGUCGACUCAUCGCAUCCUGGGGCUGGAGCAGGUCCCAAGGGUAUGGCUGUUCGCCAUUUAAAGCGGUACGUGAGUUGGGUUCAGAACGUCGUGAGACAGUUCGGUCCCUAUCUGCCGUGGGUGUAGGAAUAUUGAAAGGAUCUGUCCCUAGUACGAGAGGACCGGGAUGGACGGAUCUCUGGUGGACCUGUUGUGGCGCCAGCCGCAUAGCAGGGUAGCUAUAUCCGGACGGGAUAACCGCUGAAGGCAUCUAAGCGGGAAACCCACCUUAAAACGAGUAUUCCCUGAGAACCGUGGAAGACGACCACGUUGAUAGGCCGGGUGUGGAAGAGCGGCAACGCUUGAAGCUUACCGGUACUAAUAGUUCGAUCGGCUUGAUCGUUCUCAUU